GGAGCACGCCGCGUGAGUGAUGAAGGUUUUCGGAUCGUAAAACUCUGUUGGGGGGGGGAACAAGUACAAGAGUAACUGCUUGUACCUUGACGGUACCUAACCAGAAAGCCACGGCUAACUACGUGCCAGCAGCCGCGGUAAUACGUAGGUGGCAAGCGUUGUCCGGAAUUAUUGGGCGUAAAGCGCGCGCAGGCGGUCCUUUAAGUCUGAUGUGAAAGCCCACGGCUCAACCGUGGAGGGUCAUUGGAAACUGGGGGACUUGAGUGCAGAAGAGAAGAGUGGAAUUCCACGUGUAGCGGUGAAAUGCGUAGAGAUGUGGAGGAACACCAGUGGCGAAGGCGACUCUUUGGUCUGUAACUGACGCUGAGGCGCGAAAGCGUGGGGAGCAAACAGGAUUAGAUACCCUGGUAGUCCACGCCGUAAACGAUGAGUGCUAAGUGUUAGAGGGUUUCCGCCCUUUAGUGCUGCAGCAAACGCAUUAAGCACUCCGCCUGGGGAGUACGGCCGCAAGGCUGAAACUCAAAUGAAUUGACGGGG
This 537-nucleotide ribosomal RNA is filed under the name Niallia circulans. Its description in RNAcentral is "bacterial SSU rRNA". It matches the Rfam family "Bacterial small subunit ribosomal RNA", at positions 388 to 918 of the family's 1533-position model. Lineage: Bacteria; Bacillati; Bacillota; Bacilli; Caryophanales; Bacillaceae. The record is from RNAcentral.